GCCGGGAUAGCCAAGCUCGGGACGGCGACAAACGAUCGAUUUCGCUAAAGGCUCGAGACCUGUUGAUCUUUUGAUCGCGGGGGUUCAAAUCCCUCUCCCGGCGCCA
RNAcentral lists this transfer RNA (106 nucleotides) under Candidatus Helarchaeota archaeon. Its description in RNAcentral is "tRNA-Ser". It matches the Rfam family "tRNA". From Rfam's summary of the family: Transfer RNA (tRNA) molecules are approximately 80 nucleotides in length. Their secondary structure includes four short double-helical elements and three loops (D, anti-codon, and T loops). The record is from RNAcentral. Lineage: Archaea; Promethearchaeati; Candidatus Helarchaeota.